Cricetulus griseus (Chinese hamster) is the source of this 283-nucleotide unclassified non-coding RNA. Its record names the gene 7SK. It matches the Rfam family "7SK RNA". From Rfam's summary of the family: 7SK was discovered as an abundant small nuclear RNA in the mid-70s but a possible function has only recently been suggested. Two independent studies have found that 7SK RNA binds the CDK9/cyclin T complex (known as elongation factor P-TEFb). P-TEFb activates transcription by phosphorylating the C-terminal domain of RNA polymerase II. Lineage: Eukaryota; Metazoa; Chordata; Mammalia; Rodentia; Cricetidae. The record is from Ensembl.
GGAGAUAAGGGCUAGCCAACUGUUAUAUAUCUGUCACCCCAUUGAUCGUCAGGAUUAAUGUGGCUGAUUUGCCAAGCUAAGCGGGUCUCUCCCUGCUUAUACCUCUUUCAAACUGCACUCAAUUGCAGAGGACAACAUUUCCUAAUAGAGGAAGCCCACUCUUUGGUCAAGGGGAUAUGAGGACCUACAAGCCCUCAAGGUAAGUGCUCUAUGACCGAGUUAGCUCUAUAGCACUCUAAAUAGUGUACAACCAGUAUUUUCUCCAUUUUGUAGAACUGGGACU